CCCGGCGGCCACAGCGUUUGGGUACCACCCGAUCCCAUCCCGAACUCGGAAGUGAAACCAUUCUGCGCCGAUGAUAGUGUGGGGCCUCCCCAUGUGAAAGUAGGUCACCGCCGGGU
RNAcentral lists this ribosomal RNA (116 nucleotides) under Granulosicoccaceae sp. 1_MG-2023. The record is from RNAcentral. Lineage: Bacteria; Pseudomonadati; Pseudomonadota; Gammaproteobacteria; Chromatiales; Granulosicoccaceae.